AACGUAGGGGGCAAGCGUUGCCCGGAUUCACUGGGCGUAAAGCGGGUGUAGGCGGUUCCUUAAGUCAGAUGUGAAAUCCUGCGGCUCAACCGCGGAACUGCAUCUGAUACUGGGGAACUUGAGGACGGUAGAGGUCGGUGGAAUACCCUGUGUACCGGUGAAAUGGGCAGAUAUAGGGUGGAACACCAGUGGCGAAGGCGGCCGACUGGGCCGAUCCUGACGCUGAGACCCGAAAGCCAGGGUAGCGAACCGGG
Molecule: ribosomal RNA, 254 nt
Filed under: uncultured bacterium
Lineage: Bacteria
Description: partial 16S ribosomal RNA
Rfam family: Bacterial small subunit ribosomal RNA
Source: RNAcentral